CGGCCGUGGUGGGCAAGAAGGUGCUGGCCGGCCUGGGGCUGGACCAGGUGCGCAAUGCCGGCAGCGGCUCGGCCCCGCUGCCGGCCGA
RNAcentral lists this transfer RNA (88 nucleotides) under Pseudaquabacterium pictum. RNAcentral's name for it is "Aquabacterium pictum tRNA-Pro". The record is from RNAcentral. Lineage: Bacteria; Pseudomonadati; Pseudomonadota; Betaproteobacteria; Burkholderiales; Sphaerotilaceae.